RNAcentral lists this ribosomal RNA (777 nucleotides) under uncultured Neocallimastigales. RNAcentral describes it as "partial large subunit ribosomal RNA". It matches the Rfam family "Eukaryotic large subunit ribosomal RNA", at positions 23 to 645 of the family's 3401-position model. The record is from RNAcentral. Lineage: Eukaryota; Fungi; Neocallimastigomycota; Neocallimastigomycetes; Neocallimastigales.
AGAGAUGUGUGAUGACGCAUAUCAAUAAGCGGAGGAAAAGAAACUAACAAGGAUUCCCCUAGUAACGGCGAGUGAAGCGGGAAGAGCUCAAAUUUGAAAUCUUAAAGGUUCUACCUUGACGAAUUGUAGUUUAUAGAAGUGUUUUCUGUUGGAGUUUUCGGUAAAAGUUCUUUGGAAUAGGACAUCAUAGAGGGUGAGAAUCCCGUAUUUGACCAUUACUUUCCAGCUGUGUGAUACACUUUCAAAGAGUCGGAUUGUUUGGGAAUGCAGUCCAAAAUGGGUGGUAAAUUUCAUCUAAAGCUAAAUAUUGGCGAGAGACCGAUAGCGAACAAGUACCGUGAGGGAAAGAUGAAAAGAACUUUGAAAAGAGAGUUAAACAGUACGUGAAAUUGUCAAAAGGGAAGCGUUUGACAGCCAGUGUUGUUUAGUUGAAAAUCAAUUCAAUAAUUUUUGAUUUUGAGUAGUAUUGACUUCAUCAGCUUGCUGCUUUCUUUUCAGAAAUUAUUGAAUGCACUUUUCAGUUAACAAGUCAACAUCAAUUUCUUUUGUUGUAAAAGGGUAAGAGGAAGGUGGCUUACGCUUCGGCGUAAGUGUUUAUAGCCUUUUACCUCUGCAAUCGGAGAGAUUGAGGACAGCAGCGUAGACUCUUCGGGGUUAGAUACACUUGUGCUAAGCUAUAGCCUUGUAUAGACAACUUGUUGACUAUGCUCAGUCAUGUAGCUUACUCGCUUGUGCUAUUUUACCUACGCUUAGGAUGUUGAGUAGCGACAUACGCAC